UACGGAGGGUGCAAGCGUUAUCCGGAUUCACUGGGUUUAAAGGGUGCGUAGGCGGGUAUAUAAGUCAGUGGUGAAAUCCCCGAGCUUAACUUGGGAACUGCCGUUGAUACUAUGUAUCUUGAAUGUCGUGGAGGUAAGCGGAAUAUGUCAUGUAGCGGUGAAAUGCUUAGAUAUGACAUAGAACACCGAUUGCGAAGGCAGCUUACUACACGAUGAUUGACGCUGAGGCACGAAAGCGUGGGGAGCAAACAGGAUUAGAUACCCCCGUAGUCC
Molecule: ribosomal RNA, 273 nt
Filed under: uncultured bacterium
Lineage: Bacteria
Description: partial 16S ribosomal RNA
Rfam family: Bacterial small subunit ribosomal RNA
Source: RNAcentral